This 214-nucleotide unclassified non-coding RNA is filed under the name plant metagenome. RNAcentral's name for it is "partial contains small subunit ribosomal RNA, internal transcribed spacer 1, and 5.8S ribosomal RNA". The stretch from base 146 to 214 matches the Rfam family "5.8S ribosomal RNA", at positions 1 to 53 of the family's 154-position model. The record is from RNAcentral.
GUAGGUGAACCUGCGGAAGGAUCAUUGACAAGAAGAGGUGGUAUAGCCUUGAACCAUGUGAAUAGAGUCUGUAAUGGACUUGAGUUGGUAACGAGGGAAAUAAUAAUAUAUACGAUAGUCUAAACGUAAAAACAAAAAAAAAAACAACUUUUAACAAUGGAUCUCUAGGCUCUUGCAUCGAUGAAGAACGCAGCAUCUGACUGACUCGGGCAUA